Molecule: unclassified non-coding RNA, 183 nt
Filed under: uncultured fungus
Lineage: Eukaryota; Fungi
Description: sequence contains ITS1
Source: RNAcentral
CCGAGUGCGAACCCUCCCGUAAAAAAAGGGGGUUGCCUCCCGUCCUUUGCUGGGCAUCCCCUUUCCAGUUGGAUGGGGGUUGUUUUCAGACCCUUCUGCUUCGGCGGGGUAACCCGCCGGAACAACCUCAAAAUAUUCUCAAUUCAAAACCGUUCAGUCCGAGAACUUUUUUGAAAAGCGAAA